This 380-nucleotide ribosomal RNA is filed under the name uncultured eukaryote. RNAcentral describes it as "partial 18S ribosomal RNA". It matches the Rfam family "Eukaryotic small subunit ribosomal RNA", at positions 592 to 976 of the family's 1831-position model. The record is from RNAcentral.
CAAUAGCGUAUAUUAAAGUUGUUGCGGUUAAAAAGCUCGUAGUUGGAUUUCUGCCGAGGACGACCGGUCCGCCCUCCGGGUGAGUAUCUGGUUUGGCCUGGGCAUCUUCUUGGAGAACGUAGCUGCACUUGACUGUGUGGUGCGGUGUCCAGGACUUUUACUUUGAGGAAAUUAGAGUGUUUCAAGCAGGCACACGCCUUGAAUACAUUAGCAUGGAAUAAUAAGAUAGGACCUCGGUUCUAUUUUGUUGGUUUCUAGAGCUGAGGUAAUGAUUAAUAGGGAUAGUUGGGGGCAUCCGAAUUUAGCCGUCAGAGGUGAAAUUCUUGGAUCAGCUAAAGACGGACGACUGCGAAAGCGUUUGCCCAAGAUGUUUUCAUUGA